RNAcentral lists this ribosomal RNA (1003 nucleotides) under human gut metagenome. Its description in RNAcentral is "bacterial LSU rRNA". It matches the Rfam family "Bacterial large subunit ribosomal RNA", at positions 1928 to 2925 of the family's 2925-position model. The record is from RNAcentral.
CGGCGGCCGUAACUAUAACGGUCCUAAGGUAGCGAAAUUCCUUGUCGGGUAAGUUCCGACCUGCACGAAUGGCGUAAUGAUGGCCAGGCUGUCUCCACCCGAGACUCAGUGAAAUUGAACUCGCUGUGAAGAUGCAGUGUACCCGCGGCAAGACGGAAAGACCCCGUGAACCUUUACUAUAGCUUGACACUGAACAUUGAGCCUUGAUGUGUAGGAUAGGUGGGAGGCUUUGAAGUGUGGACGCCAGUCUGCAUGGAGCCGACCUUGAAAUACCACCCUUUAAUGUUUGAUGUUCUAACGUUGGCCCCUGAUCGGGGUUGCGGACAGUGUCUGGUGGGUAGUUUGACUGGGGCGGUCUCCUCCUAAAGAGUAACGGAGGAGCACGAAGGUUGGCUAAUCCUGGUCGGACAUCAGGAGGUUAGUGCAAUGGCAUAAGCCAGCUUGACUGCGAGCGUGACGGCGCGAGCAGGUGCGAAAGCAGGUCAUAGUGAUCCGGUGGUUCUGAAUGGAAGGGCCAUCGCUCAACGGAUAAAAGGUACUCCGGGGAUAACAGGCUGAUACCGCCCAAGAGUUCAUAUCGACGGCGGUGUUUGGCACCUCGAUGUCGGCUCAUCACAUCCUGGGGCUGAAGUAGGUCCCAAGGGUAUGGCUGUUCGCCAUUUAAAGUGGUACGCGAGCUGGGUUUAGAACGUCGUGAGACAGUUCGGUCCCUAUCUGCCGUGGGCGCUGGAGAACUGAGGGGGGCUGCUCCUAGUACGAGAGGACCGGAGUGGACGCAUCACUGGUGUUCGGGUUGUCAUGCCAAUGGCACUGCCCGGUAGCUAAAUGCGGAAGAGAUAAGUGCUGAAAGCAUCUAAGCACGAAACUUGCCCCGAGAUGAGUUCUCCCUGACUCCUUGAGAGUCCUGAAGGAACGUUGAAGACGACGACGUUGAUAGGCCGGGUGUGUAAGCGCAGCGAUGCGUUGAGCUAACCGGUACUAAUGAACCGUGAGGCUUAACCUU